RNAcentral lists this long non-coding RNA (2144 nucleotides) under Nicotiana benthamiana. RNAcentral describes it as "long non-coding RNA (NBEN_LNC028889)". Lineage: Eukaryota; Viridiplantae; Streptophyta; Magnoliopsida; Solanales; Solanaceae. The record is from RNAcentral.
AUAUAUGUACGAAUCAGACCCUACCCACCCCAUUCUCAUCGUCCUCACAGACCCGUACCUGUAUAAAUCCUAAUUCCGCGCCACCGAAUCCCACCGCCCUUGGGUGGCGGCGCCGAUUCCAAACUCCACCACAAUAUUACCCCUGAACAAGCAGACCACCCCCAUUACGAAUCCAUGAACCAUUUGCCUCGAACCAAAUCACACCUGCUCGAAUCUUGGUUUGAAAAUCUGCCCCAAAACCAAAAUCGUCCAAAUCCAACAAAACUUACACCCUACAACCUCCUUGACUUCCCCAUGAUGGAACCCAAACCAAAAUCUUUCAAAUCUAAGCCAAAGUCCAUUAAUUCAGAUCUAUGGUUCACUAUCGAGACCUUUUAAAUGUUCGGCUGGUGUUCCAGUGAUUUUGAAAUCAUAUUAUGUGUUUGUUCUUACUAAGAACAAACACAUAAUAUAGUUUAAAGAUCAAUUUCGAGUUCGGUCAAGUCCAACACAAAUUAGUGAGUUUCUCUUUGUUUUUUCUUUUCUUUCUUUGUUUCCUUCUUUCUACUUCAUGUGUGAUGGAUUAUCUAUAUGUGCAAUUUGGUUUAAAUUUAGUCUCAAUCCCACUUCUUUUUUAUCCGUGUAUUGUUCUGGUUUCCCAAUUAAUUUCGUUCGUAAUUCAUGAUAUAGUAAUUCACGAUUAAGUCUUUUUGUUUGUUGUUACGAAUUCAACUAAUUAGUUAGUGUUCUAUUUGCAUCUUUUGAAGUCAACCAGUGUUCUGAUAAGUAUUGGUUUGAAUCGGCUAAUUAGUUUGAAUUUGGAUUCAUUUAAAAUAAUAAUUAGCAUGUUAUUUUUACAUAUUUUGACAUUAUCAGUUAGUUCAAUUAUUGAUAGCAAUUGAUAGUUUGAACUUCAGUAAUUAGUUUGCAUUUGAGAUUCAAAGUUGAGAUUAGUUUUAGCUGUUUGAGUUGUUGAAUGACUGGUUUAACAACAGUCAUUUGACCAAGGUUGAAAGAGGUUAGGCAGUUAGUAAUUUUAGGGGGGUUUCAAGGGCUUUUUAGGGAUAGAAAAGGGUAGAAUCCUUAUGUUUUGUAAUUUUUAAAACAAGAAAAGGGUAGCUUAGGAAUUGUACAGCUAAAAGAGCAUUAUAGAAGCUCCUAAAAUAUGACUAUACUGAAGAUUUCAAUAAACGAGGGCAGUAACUUGAGAAAAAAGUUAGAAAAUGAGGGGUUAAAGUGAAAAAUGAGCUUGGACGGAAGUGAAAACAGAAAUUUGAAGAGAUGCCCUUAAUUUAGCCUAUAAAAUGCACCUCUAAUGCCUUCUUUCAGAUGUUUUUUGGACCUUAAAAAAGUUAUCCCAAAUAUUCUGCUCAAAUUUUAGAACUAAAGUUGAUUUUUAGUUCAGAAAUUAGCUCUUAGCUUUCCUUAGAUUCAAAAAACCAAAAACAUAGAUAGAAAACAUAAAAAAAAAUCAUUGUUUCAUUGAUUUUGGAUAGAUUCUGGAUUUUGCUUUGGAACAUUGUCUUACAACUGUGUUUUGGAUAUGUUUUUAGUUGAUCUGGGCUUAUUCUUGCUGGUUUAUGGUUUUUCUGUUGGGUAAUCAAGCUUCUGGGUGAUUUCAAGCAUAUUUAAGACUUAUCUGAUUGUUGAUUUCAUUCUUGGGCUGUAUUUGAUUGGCUGCUUGUUGCUGCUGACUUCUCGUUCUUCUUGUUCAAUUUCCAAUCUCCAGGUACACGCUUGAAAUUGGUACAAUGUAGUUGUUGAAUUAAAAUGCUGAAUUGAACUGUUUUCGUUGGAAUCGAUGUGUUCAAGCUGUUUUAGUGGAAUAAUAGUAGAUGAUUUUUUUUGUUUAGGAUUUAGUUUGAUUUGUUAAUUUGUAUUCGUUUAGGGUUCAGUUAGAUUUGUAAAUACAUCAUAUAGACUGGACAAACAUUGGACUAUAUAUGAGAACGUAUUAGACUGAUUUUGGGUGACUAUGAUAUAUGAGACUGUGCAUUUUUUAUAAGUCGUUCAGUUUGUUGAAUCCUUAAUAGUAGUAGCUGCGGAUAACUCACUAGGCUUUAGUAGUUUAAUCUUAUUUUUUUCAUACAUGUUAACUAAUGAAAUUAGAAUAGAAGCUGAAGUAAGAAUUGGUUUAUAAAUUUGUGGCCAUGUUUAUUAAUAAU